CAGUAGCCACGGUAAUACAGAGGGUGCGAGCGUUAAUCGGAUUUACUGGGCGUAAAGCGUGCGUAGGCGGCUUCUUAAGUCGGAUGUGAAAUCCCUGAGCUUAACUUAGGAAUUGCAUUCGAUACUGGGAAGCUAGAGUAUGGGAGAGGAUGGUAGAAUUCCAGGUGUAGCGGUGAAAUGCGUAGAGAUCUGGAGGAAUACCGAUGGCGAAGGCAGCCAUCUGGCCUAACACUGACGCUGAGGUACGAAAGCAUGGGGAGCAAACAGGAUUAGAUACCCCGGUAGUCCCUGUCUCUUAUAC
This 301-nucleotide ribosomal RNA is filed under the name uncultured bacterium. Its description in RNAcentral is "partial 16S ribosomal RNA". It matches the Rfam family "Bacterial small subunit ribosomal RNA", at positions 509 to 807 of the family's 1533-position model. The record is from RNAcentral.